UUGAUCUCGAAAAAUGGAAUUCAAAACCAUGAUAAUUAGAGAAGGGUUUCUUGUUAAUAGAGAGUUGAUUUCGAAGAUUACCAAAAUUCCGUUAGGUAAUGUUCGUCUACCUAGGACAAGUGAUAAACGACCAUCAUAUGAAGACAUCUCUCAUGGUGUUUGUGGUAAGAAGGUUGCUUGGAAUGAAGGAAAGUUUUCUACUAAUGUUAUUAGUGUUGCCUUGAUGGCUUUCAGAAAACUCGAUACUAAGGAAAGUUUUCUACUAAUGUUAUUAGUGUUGCGAUGUUAUAUCAAGCGUCAAGGUAUUUGGAUACUUGAUGGAAUAAUCAUUAAAACCAGGAAGAAACGCUAGCUCGCAGCCAUUGAAAUGAUGAGAUUCAAGGUGAUUUUAGAAGUUUGAAUUGAUUAAAGUCAUGGGUUGUUGUGUGAUUGAACUAUUGCUUUACAGGGAAGAAGAUGGAAUGGUUUUAGAACCAGCAGUAGUUCACAUUGAGGAUAACAGUAAAAUGUACACUACGUGUUCGGGAAAAAGCGUGACAGACCAGUCUUGAAUCAAGUUUUGCAGCUGUUUGCCAUGGAUGCUGGUGAGCUUGUACAAAGAGUCGGGGAAGGUAUAGUAACAGUGUAUUUACAUUAAAGAGACUUUUGUGCAGAUGGUGUCUAGACUUAUUUAGCUAAAUUUCAAGCAGGUAUGGUAACAAUGUAUUUACAUUAAAGAGACUACACAUAUAAAGCAGCUUCAUUUAGUGGAGGAACCUGUGAUACUUUUUGAUGAACCUUGUGCCACAGUUAAUCCAACAACCAUAGUUAAUAAUAACAAUACAAGUUUAGAUUAUCCACAAAAAAAAUACAAGAUGCAUUUGAUUGCAUAAUACUUAUUCUAACAACAAAAUAAAUUUUAGUCCGGUUGCACCCGAAUGCAUAAUGUAUAUAUUUUUGAAUUUUUUGUUAUUC
Molecule: RNA transcript, 954 nt
Organism: Papaver somniferum (opium poppy)
Lineage: Eukaryota; Viridiplantae; Streptophyta; Magnoliopsida; Ranunculales; Papaveraceae
Exons: 2
Source: RefSeq, a predicted model, not a curated record